Molecule: long non-coding RNA, 2264 nt
Organism: Homo sapiens (human)
Lineage: Eukaryota; Metazoa; Chordata; Mammalia; Primates; Hominidae
Source: Ensembl
GGAAGAUCCGGAUAGUGCAUCCCGGCCACGGCGCGCCUGCUCUGGGCUCUCCGCGUGCCGCGUCGCUUUCUUUUCUUCCUCUGGAGCAGUUAUGGCGGCGGCGAAGACCCUGAACCCCAAGGCCAAGGUGGCCGGAGCGCAGGCGGCGCUGGCGUUCAACAUUAGCGGGGCGCGGGGUCUGCAGGACGUGCUGAGGACCAACCUGGGGCCCAAAGGGACCAUAAAGAUCAAAUUCAACACCCAACAGCUUCCUUAAUAGCAAAGGUAGCAACAGCCCAGGAUGAUAUAACUGGUGAUGGUACGACUUCCAAUGUCCUAAUCAUUGGAGAGCUGCUGAAACAGGCAGAUCUCUACAUUUCUGAAGGCCUUCAUCCCAGAAUAAUCACUGAAGGAUUUGAAGCUGUGAAGGAAAAGCCCUUCAUUUUUUGGAAGAAGUCAAAGUAAGCAGAGAGAUGGACAAGGAAACACUUAAAGAUGUGGCCAGGGCAUCUCUUUGUACUAAAGUUCAUGCUGAACUUGCAGAUGUCUUAACAGAGGCUGUAGUGGGCUCCAUUUUGGCCAUUAAAAGAAAAGAUGAACCUAUUGAUCUCUUCAUGAUUUUGUGAUCAUUGACAAGAAACAUAAAUCUGAAACUGAUACAAGAGAAGUGAAUUCUGGCGUUUUUUACAAGAGUGCAGAAAGAGAAAAACUCAUAAAAGCUGAAAGAAAAUUCAUUGAAGAUAGAGUUAAAACAAAUAAUAGAACUGAAAAGGAAAGUCUGUAGUAAUUCAGAUAAAGGAUUUGUUAUUAAUCAAAAGGGAAUUGACCCCUUUUCCUUAGAUGCUCUUUCAAAGAAGGCAUAGUCGCUCUUCACAGAGCUAAAAGGAGGAAUAUGGAGAGGCUGACUCUUGCUUGUGGUGGGGUGGCCCUGAAUUCUUUUGAGGACCUAAGUCCUGACUGCUUGAGACAUGCAGGACUUGUAUAUGAGUAUACAUUGGGAGAAGUUCACCUUUAUUGAGAAGUGUAACAACCCUCGUUCUGUCACAUUAUUGAUCAAAGGACCAAAUAAGCCCACACUUAGAUCAAAGAUGCAGUAAGGGAUGGCUUGAGGGCUGUCAAAAAUGCUAUUGAUGAUGGCUGUGUGGUUCCGGUGCUGGUGCCGUGGAAGUGGCAAUGGCAGAAGCCCUGAAUAAAUAUAAGCUCAGUGUAAAGGGCAAGGCACAGCUUGGAGUCCAAGCAUUUGCUGAUGUGUUGCUCGUUAUUCCCAAGGUGAGCCCGUGGUAGCAGCAGAAGCAGGCAUUAUGGGAUAACGAUUGUGUAAAGAAACAGCUUCUUCAUUCCUGCACUGGUUGCCACCAACAUUCUCUUGGUUGAUGAGAUCAUGCGAGCUGGAAUCUUCUCUGAAAGGUUGAAUUGAAGCUUCCUCUGUAUCUGAGUCUUGAAGACUCUGCAAAGUGAUCCUGAAGAAUACAGCUGUGGAAUUUUUGUCCAAGCUUCAAAUGAGUUUCAAGGGAAUUUUCCCAUGUGAAAAAAGGAGAGAACACUGGCAUCUGUUGAAAUUCGGAAGUUCUGAAAUUAUAAUCACAGUAUUUUUUAAAAAUUGCACUGAAGUGUACACAGAUAAAGCAGGUCUUUCACCCAGUGAACAGGAUGUUUUGCUUUAGCAGCAGUGACAUAAAAUUCCAUGUUAAAUAAGCAUAUAUUACCUACCUUAUUAAAUAUUCCUUGAAAAAGCAGAUUUUAAUGGUUUAAUUUUAUGUGGACAUAUGUUAAAUUAUUCAGCAGUACCCUAUUGUUAAGCAUCUGGUUUUAAAAUUUUUAUGCUAAUAUAAAUAACGCUUAGUAAUUUAAAAUUUUGGAAGCAUCCCGUUAGUGUAAAUUUCUGAGUAAAUUUAUUGAUCAGUUGGACUUUUCACGCUUUUGAAAUAGCUUUGCUAAAAUGCUCCCCCUACAAAGUUGUAGGAAAUGGGAAGAGGAGUAAACUAGAGGCAAGGGAGUUGAGAGAGCUGGAAGGCAUGGUGGCUAAGGGCUACGGUUAUCAGGUGAAAUUUGAGAUUUGUAGGCUGACUAUAUUUUCAAGCUUCUGAACUUUUGCUUAUGCAAAAUAUUCAUCCCAAAGCCUCUAGCGUCAUAGUUUCCUCACCCAAAUUACUAUGUUUCCACAAGAUUUAUAUAGUUGGUCUAUCUCUGCGGUCCUUGAAAGUGAAGUUGGUGUUACUAGGCUGUGGGUUUUGGGGGCUCAGCAGUGACCUGGAGUGUGCAAAUAAAUGUUAAGUUGAAACCUC